CGCCUCUUGAUAAACUAUAAGAGGUCCAGCCUGCCCAAUGAUUAAUUAAAUGGCCGCGGUACCCUAACCGUGCAAAGGUAGCAUAAUAACUUGUUCUUUAAUUGAGGACUUGCAUGAAUGGCACCACGAGGGUUGAACUGUCUCCUCUCUUUAAUCAAUGAAACUGACCUCCCCGUGAAAAGGCGGGGAUUUUUAUACAAGACGAGAAGACCCCAUGGAGCUUUAGACCUAAAGCAUAUUCAAACUUCUACUUCACCAAAACCCAGAAUUCUAUGACUCCAAGUCUUAGGUUGGGGCGACCAUGGAGUAUAACCUAACCUCCAUUUUGAACGGACAAAAUCCUAAUCCUAGAACCACAAUUCUAAGAAUCAAAAAAUUGACACCCACUGACCCAAAAACUUGACCAUCGAACCAAGUUACCCUGGGGAUAACAGCGCCAUCUACCUCAAGAGCCCAUAUCGACAGGUGGGUUUACGACCUCGAUGUUGGAUCAGGGUAUCCAUGUGGUGCAGCCGCUACAUAAGGUUCGUUUGUUCAACGAUUUAAACCCU
RNAcentral lists this ribosomal RNA (551 nucleotides) under Platymantis naomii. RNAcentral's name for it is "partial 16S ribosomal RNA". It matches the Rfam family "Bacterial large subunit ribosomal RNA", at positions 1829 to 2597 of the family's 2925-position model. The record is from RNAcentral. Lineage: Eukaryota; Metazoa; Chordata; Amphibia; Anura; Ceratobatrachidae.